GAUGAACGCUGGCGGCGUGCUUAACACAUGCAAGUCGAACGAACCUUCGGGUUAGUGGCGGACGGGUGAGUAACGCGUGGGAAUCUGCCCUCAGGAGGGGGAUCACGACUGGACACGGUCGCUAAUACCCCAUAUGCCGAGAGGUGAAAUGAAUUUCGCCUGAGGAUGAGCCCGCGUCUGAUUAGCUAGUUGGUGGGGUAAGGGCCUACCAAGGCGACGAUCAGUAGCUGGUCUGAGAGGAUGAUCAGCCACACUGGGACGGAGACACGGCCCAGACUCCUACGGGAGGCAGCAGUGGGGAAUUUUCCGCAAUGGGCGAAAGCCUGACGGAGCAACGCCGCGUGAGGGAUGAAGGCCUCUGGGCUGUAAACCUCUUUUCUCAAGGAAGAAGAUCUGACGGUACUUGAGGAAUAAGCCACGGCUAAUUCCGUGCCAGCAGCCGCGGUAA
This 448-nucleotide ribosomal RNA is filed under the name uncultured bacterium. RNAcentral's name for it is "partial 16S ribosomal RNA". It matches the Rfam family "Bacterial small subunit ribosomal RNA", at positions 28 to 523 of the family's 1533-position model. The record is from RNAcentral.